This 970-nucleotide unclassified non-coding RNA is filed under the name Apis florea (little honeybee). RNAcentral describes it as "protein takeout-like, transcript variant X2". Lineage: Eukaryota; Metazoa; Arthropoda; Insecta; Hymenoptera; Apidae. The record is from RNAcentral.
CUAUGGGCUGGACCAAUGACCGACAACUGGCACGAGGUAAUCAACAUGUCUGAUUGCGAUAAGGCAAUUCUUGCACCGUUGCUCGGGGAUCGUGCGUUUAGAUAUCAUCCCCCCGUCUUUCGAUCGACUAGUCGUCCAGUAUCUGCCGCGAUGCACGCUCUUCUUCCACGAGUUUGCCUAAUGGCACUUCUAAUUCCUGCAGUCUUUGCCGUUUUACCAUCGUACAUAAAACCGUGCAAGAAGAGGGAUCCGGACAUAAACGAGUGUAUCACCAGAUCGAUCGAUCAGCUUCGCGACAAAUUAUCAGCCGGGAUACCGGAAUUCGAGGCGCCACCCAUCGAGCCUCUCUACCUCAAGCAAAUUCGCCUGUCCAGGGGACCGGUUGGAGCCAGACUCGACGUCAAUCUCACGGAUUUGCAGGUGUCCGGCCCAUCCACCUUCAAAGUUCGAGAUCUCAAAGCGGAUGUCGAGAACGUGGUGUUCACCUUCAAGGUCAACUUUGAGAAACUGUAUUUCCAAGGGAAGUAUCAGAUCGACGCGAGGGUGCUUUUGCUCAAGCUGACGGGGGAGGGGAACAUCACUGGAACCUUUACCAAUUACGAUUCGGACGUCGUUUUACGGGCGCACAAAGUGUACAGAGACAAUGAUAUCUACCUCAACUUUGAAAGAAUGAAAGUGAAGAUCAGGAUUGGCAAAGCGCACUUGCAUCUUAGCAAUUUGUUCGGCGGUGACACUGUUCUCUCUGCAGCCACCCAUGAUCUGUUGAACAACAACAACGCGUUGUUCUUGGACGAGAUCACUCCAGUGUUGGAGACAUCCUUGGCGGAUCUUUUCACGAACGUGGCCAACAAGAUUACAAAAUCUUUCACGUACAAAGAACUGUUUCCGGAUGAUUGAAUCUUCCAUCGAGACUUCAUUCGUUUACUUUGUCUUGUAAAAAUUUGUACAGUUGAUCUAUAAAUUUUUCAAA